This 248-nucleotide small RNA is filed under the name Vigna angularis var. angularis. RNAcentral's name for it is "Non-protein coding transcript". Lineage: Eukaryota; Viridiplantae; Streptophyta; Magnoliopsida; Fabales; Fabaceae. The record is from RNAcentral.
CACAUACUCACACAUCACAUGCCAUCAUAUGUGAUAAAAGUGACCUUACUCAUGAAAUGUUUAUUCAUUUGGCGCCAACUAAUUAAUGGACUUUCUUUGGCAGAUGCACCUGUCUUUUGCCUACUCAUUUCUUCAAAGGAAGAAACAACUUUUACUAUGAACAACAUUUCUUUCUUUUUCUUUGUAAAAGAAGACAAAGUUGUCAUUGAAGUGAAGGGGUUUAAGGUGGAUGGAUGCUUUGACAACAC